GUGCACUGUGUGUGAGUGUUAUGUCUUUUUUCGGAUGCGCGAAAAGUCGUGAAUUAUUUUUCGUGGUUUUUCACAGUUCUCGGCCUAAUUUCUGCCUUUUAUUUAUUUGCAAGUGUGAUAAGGAACGGGUGUUGCGGCAUCUCGCGAUAGAAGUGUGAUGUUUGGAUGUGCCGUGAGUCUACAAUUUAGCUUAGAAAAUUGUGUGUGGCCGUCGCGACGUUUCCUUCCUGCCUGUGGCUCUUGUGUGUGACACGCACCGCUCCUCCAUCCUGCCCCCGGGCUCUUGACAUUUCUUGUAUCAAUUGUGUCCAACGGUGAACCCACCUUUUGCCAAAAACACCUUGGAAGCGGGCAAACCAACUUGAAUCAUUCGUUUCGGCUGUGCUAAUCGCGUAAUAGCCCCCGUGGGAGAAUUUUCCGGGCGUUUUUCCCUACGGGAAGAUGUCACUAAGUGGCCUUUCGGUGAUUCCAUGGCAUUUGAUUUGAAUGCGACGUGGGAAAGUGGCCGCUUUUCGAAAAAACACAGCCGUCGCGAUCGUCGGCAAGGUGAGGAAAAACUAUGAUAAGAUUUUGACAGCGACGACAGCAGCGGAGCGGCAGUCGGAGUCAUUGUCAUCAGCGAACGUUGGUGUGAUCUCAUACGGGAAGGAAUUAAGUGUGGAAUUUCGCGGAGAUUGUGUACGGCCAGCAGCUGCCGGAGAGCCUCAUGCCGCCGCCACCGCCGAGUAAAAUGUCUGGAGUCGUUGACGCCGAUCGCAAAAUGAGGGUUCAAAGGCUCGAAGAUCUUGUGCGGGAUCCGUCCAGCAUAAUGAAUAUUGACUGUUUGCUGGACACGGUCACCGCUUUGGCAGCUGAUUGCGAUCAUGAGCCUGUUAAAAAGCUUAAAAACAUAGAGGCAUAUGUAAAUAGAUAUGAGGGCUUUGCAAAAAAGAUCGUUGACUUACGCAUGAAACCCGAUGACUUCAAUUUAAUUAAAGUAAUCGGUCGUGGAGCAUUCGGUGAAGUUCAAUUAGUUCGUCAUAAAUCCACUAAGCAAGUUUACGCAAUGAAACGAUUAUCCAAAUUUGAAAUGAUCAAACGACCUGAUUCGGCAUUUUUCUGGGAAGAACGGCACAUAAUGGCACACGCAAAUUCUGAAUGGAUAGUUCAGUUGCAUCAUGCAUUUCAGGACAAUAAGUAUUUAUAUAUGGUGAUGGAUUAUAUGCCAGGUGGCGAUAUCGUUAGUCUUAUGUCAAUGUACGAAAUACCAGAGAAAUGGGCAAUAUUUUAUACGAUGGAAGUCGUCCUAGCCUUAGACACUAUUCAUAAUAUGGGCUUCGUACAUCGUGACGUGAAGCCUGAUAACAUGCUCCUGGAUAAGUACGGACAUUUGAAAUUAGCUGAUUUUGGAACGUGUAUGCGAAUGGGACCAGAUGGAUUAGUUAAAAGUAGUAAUGCCGUCGGCACACCGGACUAUAUUAGCCCGGAAGUGCUGCAAUCGCAGGGCGGUGAAAAUGAAUACGGUCGUGAGUGUGAUUGGUGGUCCGUUGGAAUAUUCCUCUAUGAAAUGCUUAUCGGUGAUACUCCGUUUUAUGCGGAUAGUUUAGUUGGCACUUACGGAAAAAUUAUGGACCAUAAAAAUUCUUUAAAUUUUCCAACAGAAAUAGAAAUUAGUGAAAAUGCCAAGUCUUUGAUACGUGGAUUUCUGACGGAUCGAAUACAUAGGUUGGGACGUAAUGGAAUUGAGGAAAUUAAGUGCCACCCGUUCUUCCAUAAUGACACCUGGACAUUUGAUAAUUUAAGAGAGUCUGUGCCACCCGUCGUACCUGAGUUGAGUAGUGAUGAUGAUACGCGGAAUUUCGAUGAUAUCGAAAGAGAUGAAAGUCCAGAGGAAGUUUUUCCUGUGCCAAAAACAUUUGCCGGUAAUCAUCUGCCAUUCAUUGGAUUCACAUACAAUGGAGACUACCAGCUCUUUUCAAACGAUGCUGUAGAUACGAAUCGUACGCACAAUCACGGACAUAGACCGUCGAACACGGCAGAAUUGAAACGCUUAGAAGCCUUAUAUGAACGUGAAAAAGCGAACGUAGAAAAUUUGGAAAAGCAAGAGCGAACAUUGAAAUUGCAGAUCGAAACCCUGACACAGCGAGAGAAUGAAGUUCAAUUGCUAGCCAACAAAUAUGAAAAAGACUUAGCUAUGCUGAAACAUAACUACAAGGAAGCGCAACGGAAAGCGGACCAUGAAGCGGAGAUGAGGCGAAAGACAGAAAAUCUUUUAGCUGAAACCAAGCGGAAUCUGGAUGAGGAGCAGAGUAGGCGGACUCGAGAGAUGAAUAAUAACCAACAGCAUAACGACAGAAUAAAUAUGCUUGAGAAACAACUUGCUGAUAUGCAAGAGAAACUCAAAAGUGAGACAGAGAAUGGUCAAAAGUUAAAGAAGCAGAUUGUUGAGUUGCGGCUAUCGAGAACUGAAGUUGAACAAAAAGCAGCACAGCUUCAAGGUGUCCUUGCAGGUCUUCAAGCGCAACGAGACGCCCUGCAACAAGAGGUUGCUGAAUUGCAGAGCCGCCUAGUCCAAGAGAAGAAUGGUCGCGCUCAGCUUAAAGAGCUCAACAAAGAGUUGGAGAACAAAUUGCAAACGGUGAAUAUGGAUUUAGAACGCGUUUUAAACAGGGAGCAACAAGCAAUGGACGAUAAUCGUUUACUGGGGGAACGAAUCUCUGAACUAGAGAAAGUUAAUGCCGGACUAGAUUUGGAGCUUAAAUCUGAAAAGAACCGAUAUCAACAGGAAGUAAAAGCGCAUCAAGAGACCCAAAAGUCGAGGCUUCUAAGUCGUGAAGAGGCUAACAUGCAGGAAGUAAAGGCUCUCCAAACCAAACUGAAUGAAGAGAAGGCAGCACGGACUAAAGCGGAUCAAAACUCACAAGAGAAGGAACGUCAAAUAUCAAUGUUGUCGGUCGACUACCGGCAAAUCCGUCAAAAACUGCAGAAGCUAGAAGGUGAAUGCCGACAGGAGGUGGAAAAAGUGAUGGCCCUUCAGAGUCAAAUCGAUCAGGAGACCAGCAAAAGAAACUCUCUAUUGUCUGAACUCAGUUUACAAAGCUCUGAAGUAGCUCAUCUAAAAGCCCGCGAAAGUCAACUACUAAAGGAAGUCAACCAGCUGCGCGAGACCAAACGUCGUCUCGAAGAAGAUAUUGUGAAAAUCAAAAAUGCUCAUAAUGCUGAUAUUCUCCAAAUGCGCGAGCUUCAGGACCAACUUGAGGCCGAGCAGUAUUUCUCAAGACUGUAUAAGACCCAAAGUAGUGAGUUGCGUGAAGAAAACACCGAAAAAAUCAGAGUCAUUCAAGAGCUUGAGGAAGAAUGCUCGUCAUUGAAACAUCAAGUGCAAGUAGCAGUGGCUCGUGCUGAUGCUGAAGCUUUGGCACGAACAAUAGCCGAAGAAACCGUUGCCGAUCUUGAGAAGGAAAAGACAAUAAAGGAGUUGGAAUUGAAAGAUUUCAUGACCAAACAUCGCAAUGAAAUUGCCGCUAAAGAAUCUGCAUUGGCUGCCGUCAACGAGGCUGAGGCUGAAGUGAUUAAAAAAUUAAAUCAAAAGAUAGCAGAAUAUGAUGAGCUUGUUCAACAGAAUAAGAAUUUGCAGGAAGAAUUGGCACAGAACAAAGUCGAUAAGAAUGAAAUUAUUAAAUUACAGGAAAAAGUUAAGACUGAGAAUUUGUUGAAACAAGUAGCAGUCAAUAAACUAACGGAAAUAAUGAAUCGUAAGGAUGCCAAUAUCCAAGGCAAACAAAAUAAGGCUAAGACUAACUCUGCGGCUGAUCUAAAGAAGAAGGAGAAGGAAACCAGGAGGUUACAACAAGAACUGACACAGGAAAGGGAGAAAUAUACACAACUUUUGCUGAAAUUCCAAGAUAUGCAAAGUCAAUUCGCUGAGGAAUGUAAUGCAAAGACAAAAUUACAAAUGGAAGUAGAUUGCAAAGAUACGCAAAUCGAACAAUUGCAAUCAAAAUUGAAUGAAACUGCGUCGCUUUCUUCGGCUGAUAAUGAUACCGAGGAUAAUCAGGAUACCGUCUUCGAGGGUUGGUUAAGUGUGCCAAAUAAACAAAAUAUACGUCGUCAUGGUUGGAAACGGCAAUUCGUAGUCGUCUCAUCGAGAAAAAUUAUAUUUUAUAAUUCCGAGAUAGACAAGCAGAAUACAAUCGACCCUGUGCUUAUUUUAGAUUUAAGCAAAGUAUUUCAUGUUCGAUCCGUUACACAAGGUGAUGUUAUACGUGCUGAUGCCAAAGAAAUCCCAAGAAUAUUCCAGCUAUUGUAUGCUGGUGAAGGUGAGGCUAGACGACCUGAUGAUCAGCAAAAUCAAGUGGAUAUGAGUUCGUUACGCGGUACCGGUAUUAUCCAUAAAGGACACGAAUUUACCCAAAUUAGUUAUCAUAUGCCAACAGCUUGUGAAGUUUGUACGAAACCAUUGUGGCAUAUGUUUAAGCCGCCGGCGGCCUAUGAAUGUAAAAAAUGUCGCAAUAAAAUUCACAAAGAACAUGUGGACAAUAACGAUCCAUUGGCUCCAUGUAAAUUACAUCAUGAUCCUCAUAGCGCUAGGGAAAUGUUAUUACUAGCGGCUACAAAAGAUGAUCAAAACUUAUGGGUAAACCGUUUAUCGAAGCGUAUCCAAAAAAGUGGAUAUAAAGCGAAUUCAUCGUCAAAUAAUAAUAGUAGUGGAGACGGUAGUAAAAUUUCACCAAGGUAAAGUCAUGCGACGCUGAAGCGACAGAGCUGCGUGUGGUGGUCAAAGUUGUACUUACUUUUGUUUGCUCUUUGUGAUUUAAAAUUUAAAUAAGACGACUUCAUUAUGAAAAUUCUAUUCAACAUUCCCCAAACUAUGUACAUUUUACUAUUACAAUUGACGGCAAAUUUCGCAGAGUUUCAAGAUCGCAAUCAACUGAUGUGUCUGAGUCGAUGGAAGGCGUAAUAAGAGUAGUUUAGCAAUAAAAGUAACAAUAACGACUAAUUCUAGAUUUUUCUUAAAGUGCCUUUUGAUUUGUGCUUUUGUGUUUUUUGACUCUUUACUAUAGAUAGACAUGUGUACAUGCGUUUGAAGCAGAAAGGAUAAUAUCAUUUUAAAUGCUUUUAUAUCAUAUACAUACUUAGAUGUUACAAUAAAUGAAUCAUUGAAAAAGUCGGUUGAAUGUUAAUAUUAAUCUCUAAUUUUUCUAUUGGAGAAAAAUUAAAAUGGAAUAGAUAGAAAUUUUUAAAUUUUGUUAAAAUAUAAGAUAAUAAAUUUAUUUAAAUAUAGUCGCGGAUGUUAAUGAAAUUCGUCAAGAGUAUUUUUUAUAGACCAAACUUUAUAAAGAUUGAAUUGUAGUACUUAAGAUUUAUACCAAUUGAAGAAUCAGAGAAUUUUGUUUAUUGAACUGUUUGUAAAUAAAAUUUGAA
This 5403-nucleotide unclassified non-coding RNA is filed under the name Hermetia illucens (black soldier fly). RNAcentral's name for it is "rho-associated protein kinase 1, transcript variant X2". The record is from RNAcentral. Lineage: Eukaryota; Metazoa; Arthropoda; Insecta; Diptera; Stratiomyidae.